AUACUAUCUGUCGCGGCUGGUGGUUCUGUCAUGUGCAGAACUGAAAAGGGAAUCUGGUGCAAAUCCAGAACUGACGCGCAGCGGUAAAAGAGAACAAAGGUUGAGUCAACACUGCACUAAAUUCAUUCAUGUGUGGGAAGUUAAACCGGAGGCGAUGAGUAAAUCAGCGUUUACACAUCAUGCUCUUGAGUCCGAAGACCUGCCAGUGACCGAAGAAUGAU
Molecule: non-coding RNA, 221 nt
Filed under: Vibrio aerogenes
Lineage: Bacteria; Pseudomonadati; Pseudomonadota; Gammaproteobacteria; Vibrionales; Vibrionaceae
Also listed under: 1 other name
Source: RNAcentral